Quercus lobata is the source of this 4604-nucleotide RNA transcript. It is a transcript of the gene named P-loop containing nucleoside triphosphate hydrolases superfamily protein, with no coding region annotated. Lineage: Eukaryota; Viridiplantae; Streptophyta; Magnoliopsida; Fagales; Fagaceae. The record is from RefSeq and is a predicted model, not a curated record. The transcript has 5 exons.
GGCCCUUGAAAAGUUUAAAACGCACCCAUAGUGAAGUCCGGGGGUCUCCUUACGCUAGCCGCUAAAUUUUAUAUAUUCGACCAAAACAGAAGGUUAGGGUUUCGACUCUCGAAACUUCCUUUUAUCUGUGGAUUCAACAUUCAUCUUCGCCACGAAUUUGUUUUCCGCGAUAUCUUGCAAAAUUUAGGAGCCGCUUAAUUUUUCUGGUCUCGUAUAAUCUCAACCGCUCGUACUUUCAUCACAUAAUAAAGAACUUGAGGAGAAAGCGAUGGAUGAGGGGAAGCAUAAAUCUAGGAGGGAGGAUUCGGAGAGGAGUGAGGUGGAGGAUUUGAAGGAGUCGAAGCGGAGCCACCGUGAUCGCGAUAGAGAAAGAGAUAAGGAGAGAAAUGGGGAGAGACACAGGGACAGGGACCGAGAUAGGGUGAAGAAAGACCGUGAUAGCCGGCGUUCAGAGAGAGAGAAGAGUAGCGAAUCUGAUGACAAGGAGAGAAAUGGGGAGAGACAUAGGGAGCGGGAUAGGGAGAAGAAGGACCGCGAUAGCCGGCGUUCUGAGAAAGAGAAGAGUAUCGAAUCUGAUGAGAAGGAGAGAAAUGGGGAGAGGCAUAGGGACCAGGAGAGGGAGAAGAAGGACCGAGAUAGUCGGCGUUCUGAGAGAGAGAAGAGUAGUGAUUCUGAUGACAAGCAUGAUAGAAUUAGGGAGAAGCAUAGAGACAGGGACAAGGAUAAGGAUAGGACACGAAGUCGGGAUGACGACAGAGAAAGAGAGAGAGCCAGAGAAAAGAAGAGGGAAAGAGACAGGGAAGAGAGGGAGAGAGAGAGGGAGAGGGAAAGGGAGAAAGAGAAGAGGGAGAGGGCAAGAGAGAAAGAAAGAGAGAGGGAAAGAGAAAGGGAGAAGAGGGAACGUGAGAGAGAAGAGCGAGAGAGGGAGAGAGAGAGGGAGAGGAGGGAGCGUGAAAGAGAGAGAGAGAAGGAGAGAGAAAGAGAGAGGAGGAUACGGGACAGGGAGAAGCAUCGAGAAGCUGAUAGUGAUGACGGUGAUGAUAAUCAUAGGGAGCAUGACAGGAAGCGACGCAGGAGAGACGAUGAUGGUUACAAGGAUAGAGAUCGUGAACGGAGCAAUAGCAGGCCGCGCAAGCACAGGGCUGAUAGUGAAGAGAGCCCUAGAAAAAGGAGUACUGAGGAUGAUUCUGAUAAGGAGAAUAAACUGACCCGUGAAGAGGAGUUGAAGGAUGAGCAGCGGAGAUUGGAGGAGGAAAUGGAAAAGCGGAGGAGGAGAGUGCAGGAGUGGCAGGAGACGAAGAGAAAAAAUGAAGAAGCUGAGAGAGAAAAGCGUGGGGAAGCGAAUGCUGAGGAACCCAUGUCUGGGAAGACCUGGACCCUUGAAGGAGAAUCUGAUGAUGAAGAAGUACCUCCUAUGGGGAAACCAGAGACGGAUAUGGACAUGGAUGAAAAUGUCAAUCCUACUGACAACGAAGUUGGGGAUUCAAUGUUGGUUGAUUCUGAGAAUGGAAUAGCUUCCACUUCACAGAAUGGGGCUGAUGGUGAUGCUGGGGAUGAGGAAAUUGAUCCAUUGGAUGCCUUUAUGAAUUCUAUGGUAUUGCCUGAAGUUGAGAAGCUAAACAAUACUUCGGCUCCUCCGAAUUUUGAUGAUAUGGAUGUGGACUCAAAGAACAAACCUAAGAAGGAUGAAUUAAGUAAUGGUGAGCAGCCUAGGAAGGGUUCAAAUAAGUCUAUGGGGAGAAUAAUGCAGGGUGAAGAUUCAGAGUCAGAUUAUAGUGACCUUGAGAAUGAUGAGGAUCCUGUACAAGAAGAAGAUGAUGAUGAGUUCAUGAAAAGGGUGAAGAAGACAAAAGCUGAGAAGCUUUCUGUAGUUGACCACUCUAAGAUUGAUUAUGAACCGUUCCGGAAAAACUUCUAUAUUGAAGUGAAAGAGAUCGGUAAGAUGACUUCUGAAGAGGUUGUUGCUUACCGAAAAGAAUUGGAAUUGAAGUUACAUGGUAAAGAUGUACCAAAGCCAAUUAAAACCUGGCACCAAACGGGACUCACGAGUAAAAUCUUGGAGACAAUAAAGAAGCUGGAAUAUGAAAGUCCAAUGCCAAUUCAAGCUCAGGCUCUGCCUAUAAUUAUGAGUGGUCGAGACUGCAUAGGCGUUGCCAAAACUGGCUCAGGCAAAACCCUUGCAUUUGUGCUGCCAAUGUUGAGGCAUAUCAAGGACCAGCCACCUGUGGUAGCUGGAGAUGGACCUAUUGGGCUUAUAAUGGCACCUACAAGGGAGCUUGUACAGCAGAUCCACAGUGAUAUAAAGAAGUUUUCCAAGGUACUUGGUAUCAGGUGUGUGCCUGUGUAUGGAGGUUCUGGUGUUGCUCAACAAAUUAGUGACUUGAAGCGUGGUACAGAGAUUGUUGUCUGUACUCCAGGUAGGAUGAUUGACAUACUUUGCACAAGUGGGGGGAAAAUUACAAAUCUGCGUAGAGUUACAUAUUUGGUUAUGGAUGAAGCUGAUCGGAUGUUUGACAUGGGUUUUGAGCCUCAAAUUACUCGAAUUGUUCAAAAUAUUCGGCCAGAUCGUCAAACGGUACUCUUUUCUGCAACUUUCCCUCGUCAGGUAGAAAUUUUGGCGCGUAAAGUGUUAAACAAACCUGUGGAGAUACAGGUUGGUGGGAGAAGUGUUGUGAACAAGGAUAUAACACAGUUGGUUGAGGUGAGGCUGGAAAAUGAAAGGUUCUUAAGAUUGCUGGAACUACUUGGGGAAUGGUAUGAGAAAGGGAAAAUUUUAAUAUUUGUCCACUCGCAGGAGAAAUGUGAUGCUUUGUUCAGGGAUCUCAUCAAGCAUGGUUAUCCUUGCCUCUCGCUUCAUGGGGCUAAGGACCAGACUGACCGUGAAUCAACCAUUUCUGAUUUUAAGAGCAAUGUCUGCAAUUUGCUGAUUGCUACAAGUAUUGCUGCUAGGGGUUUAGAUGUGAAGGAGCUUGAAUUGGUGGUAAACUUUGACGUUCCAAACCACUAUGAAGAUUAUGUCCAUCGUGUUGGUCGUACAGGUCGAGCUGGCAGGAAAGGUUGUGCUAUCACAUUUAUUUCUGAGGAAGAUGCAAGAUAUGCACCUGAUCUUGUAAAAGCAUUGGAACUUUCUGAGCAAGCUGUUCCCGAUGACCUGAAAGCUCUUGCUGAUGGUUUUAUGGCAAAAGUGAAUCAGGGACUUGAGCAAGCCCAUGGUACUGGUUAUGGUGGAAGUGGUUUUAAAUUUAAUGAAGAGGAAGAUGAGGUGAGGAGAGCUGCAAAGAAAGCACAGGCCAAAGAAUAUGGUUUUGAAGAGGACAAGUCAGAUUCGGAUGAUGAUGAUGACAGUAUACGGAAGGCAGGUGGUGACAUAUCCCAGCAUACUGCCUUAGCUCAGAUAAUUGCUGCUGCCUCCAAAGUCAGUACAGCGAGUGCACCUAUGCCGACCCCUGUCUCUGCUGUACAACUGCUUCCCAACGGUGGACUACCUGUUACACUGCCAACAAUUGGUCUAGCAAUACCUGGAACAACGGCAGCGGUGUCUGCGACCGGCCUGCCUGUUGUUGCCAAUGAUGGAGCAGGGGCAGCUCGGGCAGCAGCAAUUGCAGCGGCUCUCAACUUACAGAAAAAUUUGUUGAAGCUUCAAGAAGUUGCUAUGCCAGAACAUUACGAAGCGGAGUUGGAGAUUAAUGAUUUUCCCCAGAAUGCUCGAUGGAGGGUUACCCACAAGGAAACUUUGGGCCCAAUUUCGGAGUGGACUGGAGCUGCUAUUACUACGAGGGGGCAGUAUUUUCCACAAGGUCGGAUCCCAGGACCUGGAGACCGCAAGCUCUACUUGUUCAUUGAGGGCCCUACUGAACAGUCUGUCAAGAGAGCUAAAUCAGAAUUAAAACGAGUUUUGGAAGACAUCACAAACCAGGGAUCACAACCAAACAGUGCAGCCCAACCUGGCAGAUACCAAGUUUUAUAAGUGUUCAGUUGGGAAAUUUCAGGAGCCAAUUGUUGCUUUGUGUGCAACUUUUGUUAUGGUGAAGAUAUCGACAGGACUACCAUCUAAUCAGGACACCUACUACCACCGGCAGUAAGCCUUCCAGGACUGUCAAUCUGAAACUCUUUUCCUAUCAUAUCAGAAGCUAGUAGGGAGAGAACUGAAAGGAGGUUUGGAAGAAGUGGACGAGAGGUAAAUCAGCAUAUUGGAUUGGUAUACUGGAACUCUGGUAUGCUUUUUUCUGAACUCGUGUCUUGGAUGUAUGUGAUGAAGGAAUUGCUUCACUUGGUGUUGGAUUUCUAUGGAUCAAUCUGCUCGUGCCUCAGAAGGCUGCUUCCUUCGUUUGAUUUAGAAGAUUUUAUGUUAUUUUCCUCGUUUUAUUGUGAUGUGCAAUAAGUGUGAUGCGGUGCUAUAGAGAAUUGUUAGGUAUCUUGUGGGGGGACAAAAGGUUAUGUGGUGUUGAAAAUAUGAGUCCUUGCAAUUUACAGCCUUAACACUUUACUUUGGUCUUGUCCCCCAUAGUUUAAACUUUUAGAUUGUGACCAUAGUGUUUGGAAACAAGUCCAUCCCUCAAUGGCCGGUGUUGAUGUGUCUGUCUAAACAAUGUGGUUUUUGCUUA